Long non-coding RNA from Cyprinus carpio (common carp), 1030 nucleotides. Ensembl lists it as uncharacterized. The record is from Ensembl. NCBI's taxonomy places the organism in Eukaryota, Metazoa, Chordata, Actinopteri, Cypriniformes, Cyprinidae.
CAUCCCAGUCAUAGUUUUGAAUGAAUGUUUGCCAGUUGCCACCUUUCACUUGGAAAAUGAGCUUCAGCAUGACUGCUCCUGCCAGCGAUGAUGGUGACAUGUCUCGCCGUCUGAUUGCAUGUGACGAUAUAAUAUGUAAAUAUGGUAGAUGUGUUCUGGUGAAUGGGGAGCCCACCUGUGAGUGUAAGCUGGGCUACAUUGGAGACACCUGUAACGAAACAAUCAAUGACGCUCUGUCUGUGCCUCUCACCCUCGGCGUCCUGGCUUUCCUCAUUGGCUUUAUCAUCCUGCUCUUUGGGCUGGCAUUUUUCCGGCAAAGACAAAAGGCAAAGAAGAGAAAAAAGGCAGCUGAGGAAGCCAUGUUAAGAAAUGGAGCACAUCUUUAACGUUUUAAUGCAGCGUGCCAUAAAAUAGUACCAUCAACACUUGAACUACCACUUCCACUCCAAUUAAAAAAACUUUCCACCAUGAAACUUAACUCACACUUAAAUGUGCAUGAAUAUAUAUAUAUAUUCAUCUUAUGUUAUUGGUGUGUAUAUGUAGGUAUUAAAGUAGCUCUAACUGAAUUCAACAUGUAACUGAAAACCAUUGUGAAAUACAUGAAGUCUGCAGCACAUUUGAAUGAUUCCAGAGCAUGAUUUGUGUUGGCGUACCUGCAGGGGAGAUGGAUGUAAAUCAUGUCCAACAUACAAUGACUAGUUGCUGAAACAUGGCAGGUACUUGAAUGUGGUUUUUCUGGUGUUAUAUUUAGCUCAGUCAGUCCUGACUGGUGAGUCUGAAGAACUGAAAGCUGACUAGUUUCAUGGACUGAUAAGCCACAGACGAGUAUCUCUUUCAAGCGUUUAUGGCAAACACUCAUAUCAUUUUUAUGGAUCUUGGUUGCAUAUAGAUUUUAUUUUUGGAGUUUCACAACAACUCUGCAUUCAACACUUUUGUAGUAGAGGCCUAAGAGCCUCAUUCAGCUGUUAUCGUGACUGUCUGUACAGUAUUUUUGAAUAAAGAGAUUUGUUUUUGUCUGCUUGUAUUUCUC